This 319-nucleotide ribosomal RNA is filed under the name uncultured fungus. Its description in RNAcentral is "eukaryotic LSU rRNA". The stretch from base 1 to 71 matches the Rfam family "5.8S ribosomal RNA", at positions 84 to 154 of the family's 154-position model. The record is from RNAcentral. Lineage: Eukaryota; Fungi.
GUGAAUCAUCGAAUCUUUGAACGCAUCUUGCGCUCUCUGGUAUUCCGGAGAGCAUGUCUGUUUGAGUGUCAUGAAUUCUUCAACCCAACUGUUUCUUGUAAACAGCUGGUGUUUGGAUUCUGAGCGCUGCUGGCUUCGUGCCUAGCUCGUUCGUAAUACAUCAGCAUCCCUAAUACAAGUUUGGAUUGACUUGGCGUAAUAGACUAUUCGCUAAGGAUUCAAUGUUCGCAUUGAGCCAACUUAAUUAUGGAAGCUUCUAAUUGAAAAGUCUACCUUUAGAUUAGAUCUCAAAUCAGGCAGGAUUACCCGCUGAACUUAA